ACGCUCGACACCUACGGGGGCAGCAGUUGGGAAUAUUGGACAAUGGAGGAAACUCUGAUCCAGUGACGCCGCGUGAAGGAAGAAGGUCUUCGGAUUGUAAACUUAUUUUGUCAGGGAAGAAAAAUGACUGUACCUGAAGAAAAAGCACCGGCUAACUACGUGACAGCAGCCGCGGUAAUCUGAGCGGGCUGGCAAGGC
RNAcentral lists this ribosomal RNA (198 nucleotides) under uncultured bacterium. RNAcentral describes it as "partial 16S ribosomal RNA". It matches the Rfam family "Bacterial small subunit ribosomal RNA", at positions 328 to 539 of the family's 1533-position model. The record is from RNAcentral.